RNAcentral lists this unclassified non-coding RNA (189 nucleotides) under rhizosphere metagenome. RNAcentral describes it as "partial ribosomal RNA internal transcribed spacer region". The record is from RNAcentral.
GAAAUAAACCUGAUGGGUUGUUGCUGGUUCUCUAGGGAGCAUGUGCACACUUGUCAUUUUUAUAUCUCCACCUGUGCACCUUUUGUAGACCUUUACAAGUCUAUGUUGCUUUCAUUUACCCCAAUGUAUGUUAAUAGAAUGUUGUGACUAUAAAAUUAUACAACUUUCAGCAACGGAUCUCUUGGCUCU